UGGGGAAUAUUGGGCAAUGGAGGCAACUCUGACCCAGCCAUGCCGCGUGGGUGACGAAGGUCUUCGGAUUGUAAAGCCCUUUCGGCGGGGACGAUGAUGACGGUACCCGCAGAAGAAGCCCCGGCUAACUUCGUGCCAGCAGCCGCGGUAAUACGAAGGGGGCUAGCGUUGUUCGGAAUUACUGGGCGUAAAGGGCGUGUAGGCGGCCCGUUAAGACAGGUGUGAAAUUCCUGGGCUCAACCAAGGACGUGCGCCUGUGACUGGCGGGCUUGAAUCCGGGAGAGGAUGGUGGAACUCCCAGUGUAGAGGUGAAAUUCGUAGAUAUUGGGAAGAACACCCGUGGCGAAGGCGGCCAUCUGGACCGGUAUUGACGCUAAGGCGCGACAGCGUGGGGAGCAAACA
Molecule: ribosomal RNA, 402 nt
Filed under: uncultured bacterium
Lineage: Bacteria
Description: bacterial SSU rRNA
Rfam family: Bacterial small subunit ribosomal RNA
Source: RNAcentral